RNAcentral lists this transfer-messenger RNA (401 nucleotides) under bovine gut metagenome. It matches the Rfam family "transfer-messenger RNA". Rfam says of the family: Bacterial tmRNA, also known as 10Sa RNA or SsrA, is named for its dual tRNA and mRNA-like properties. The record is from RNAcentral.
GGGGCUGACAUGGCUUUGACAGCGUGAUGAGGUGGUGAGUAAGCAUGCAGAGCGAUGAUGGCAAUGCUCUCGAAUCUCAGUCAUCACUAAAUUUUAAAUGGCGCAAAUAACUACGCUCUCGCUGCCUAACCGAAGCACAGUAGGUUAAGCUUCAUCUCUGAGCAAGGCUUGGAGACGAGACAUCACCCGAUUGCCGUUGUUCCGAGGCGUUUCGAAAAGGUGGUGCAGGAAUAUCGGGAAUAGAGAAUGGCUUUCCUCGGGCCAGACUCGAAAUUUAGAGGAUAAGCGCCGGGUUGGUGGUCGUGAUCCUGCCCUGCGACGAAAAUUAAGUCAUGACUAAGCAUGUAGAAAGCUUAUCAGUUCCGCGUUUGGACGAGGGUUCAACCCCCUCCAGCUCCACA